CUACGGGGCGCAGCAGUCGAGAGGCUUCGGCAAUGGGGGAAACCCUGACCGAGCGACGCCGCGUGUGUGAUGAAGGUCGUAAGAUCGUAAAGCACUGUUAGCAGGGAAGAAAUGCUAUACGGUUAAUACCCGUACAGCUUGACGUUACCUGCAGAGAAAGCUCCGGCUAACUCCGUGCCAGCAGCCGCGGUAACACGGGGGGAGCAAACGUUAUUCGGAAUCACUGGGCGUAAAGGGCGCGCAGGCGGCCAGGUAAGUGGGAUGUGAAAUCCGGUGGCUCAACCAUCGAACUGCAUCCUAUACUGCUUGGCUUGAGGACGGGAGAGGAAAUGGGAAUUCCCGGUGUAGCGGUGACAUGCACUGAUAUCGGGAGGAACACCAGUGGCGAAGGCGCAUUUCUGGCCUGUUCCUGACGCUCAGGCGCGAAAGCUGGGGGAGCAAACAGGAUUAGAUACCCGAGUAGUC
This 465-nucleotide ribosomal RNA is filed under the name uncultured bacterium. RNAcentral's name for it is "partial 16S ribosomal RNA". It matches the Rfam family "Bacterial small subunit ribosomal RNA", at positions 339 to 795 of the family's 1533-position model. The record is from RNAcentral.